GCACAAUGGGCGCAAGCCUGAUGCAGCCAUGCCGCGUGUAUGAAGAAGGCCUUCGGGUUGUAAAGUACUUUCAGCAGUGAGGAAGGUGGGUAUGUUAAUAGCAUACUCCAUUUUGACGUUAGCUGCAGAAGAAGCACCGGCUAACUCCGUGCCAGCAGCCGCGGUAAUACGGAGGGUGCGAGCGGUUUAAUCGGAAUUACUGGGCGUAAAGCGCAUGCAGGUGGUUUGUUAAGUCAGGAUGUGAAAGCCCGGGGCUCAACCUCGGAAUUGCAUUUGAAACUGGCAAACUAGAGUACUGUAGAGGGGGUAGAAUUUCAGGUGUAGCGGUGAAAUGCGUAGAGAUCUGAAGGAAUACCGGUGGCGAAGGCGGCCCCCUGGACAGAUACUGACACUCAGAUGCGAAAGCGUGGGGAGCAAACAGGAUUAGAUACCCUGGUAG
This 439-nucleotide ribosomal RNA is filed under the name uncultured bacterium. Its description in RNAcentral is "bacterial SSU rRNA". It matches the Rfam family "Bacterial small subunit ribosomal RNA", at positions 366 to 793 of the family's 1533-position model. The record is from RNAcentral.